Molecule: ribosomal RNA, 501 nt
Filed under: uncultured bacterium
Lineage: Bacteria
Description: bacterial SSU rRNA
Rfam family: Bacterial small subunit ribosomal RNA
Source: RNAcentral
GACGAACGCUGGCGGCGUGCCUAACACAUGCAAGUCGAGCGGAGAAACAAAAGAGCAGCUUGCUGCGAUUUGUUUCUUAGCGGCGGGCGGGUGAGUAACGCGUGGGUAAUCUGCCUCAAACAGGGGGAUAACACAGGGAAACUUGUGCUAAUACCGCAUAAGACCCCACCAUGGCAUCAUGGAGAGGUCAAAGGAAGAAAUUCCGGUUUGAGAUGAGCCCGCGUCUGAUUAGCUAGUUGGUGAGGUAACGGCUCACCAAGGCGACGAUCAGUAGCCGAACUGAGAGGUUGAUCGGCCACAUUGGGACUGAGACACGGCCCAGACUCCUACGGGAGGCAGCAGUGGGGAAUAUUGCACAAUGGGGGAAACCCUGAUGCAGCGACGCCGCGUGAAGGAAGAAGGCCCUCGGGUUGUAAACUUCUUUGACCAGGGACGAAGAAAGUGACGGUACCUGGAGAACAAGCCACGGCUAACUACGUGCCAGCAGCCGCGGUAAUAGUA